UGGGGAAUAUUGGACAAUGGGGGGAACCCUGAUCCAGCCAUGCCGCGUGUGUGAAGAAGGCCUUAUGGUUGUAAAGCACUUUAAGCGAGGAGGAGGGUACUGGUAUUAAUACUACCAGCUACUGGACGUUACUCGCAGAAUAAGCACCGGCUAACUCUGUGCCAGCAGCCGCGGUAAUACAGAGGGUGCGAGCGUUAAUCGGAUUUACUGGGCGUAAAGCGUGCGUAGGCGGCUAAUUGAGUCGGAUGUGAAAUCCCCGAGCUUAACUUGGGAAUUGCAUUCGAUACUGGUUAGCUCGAGUGUGGGAGAGGAUGGUAGAGUUCCAGGUGUAGCGGUGAAAUGCGUAGAGAUCUGGAGGAAUACCGAUGGCGAAGGCAGCCAUCUGGCCUAACACUGACGCUGAGGUACGAAAGCAUGGGGAGCAAACAGG
RNAcentral lists this ribosomal RNA (430 nucleotides) under Pseudomonadota bacterium. RNAcentral describes it as "Proteobacteria bacterium partial 16S ribosomal RNA". It matches the Rfam family "Bacterial small subunit ribosomal RNA", at positions 355 to 776 of the family's 1533-position model. The record is from RNAcentral. Lineage: Bacteria; Pseudomonadati; Pseudomonadota.